CCUGCCCUGCCCUGCCCUGCCCGCUCGGAGGCCGGUGCUCCCACGGCAUCGUGCGCUCUCCCAGCCGCGUGAUGUGCGAUGCUCGGCGGGCCCAGCUCUGAUACUCUCCUCAAAGGGAAAUACCCGAUGUUCAGCAGCCCAUCAAAGAGGGUGUGCAGUCUCUGAAUAAGAUCGUGCAGGUCCAGAAAUUGCUUCUAGAAAAGCAGCAGCUAUCUCCCGAGGGAAGGGUAACCCUCGGCCAUGUGAAACGGGAUGUGUCUUCUCUUGAAAGCCCUGAAGGGCAGCAGGAACCUCACAGCUGACAGAAACAUCGCCCUCUUCUGGGAACAGAAAUGAGAAGUUGUUGAGAAUGUUUUUCAAAAAUGCAAAUGGGCUGUUUUCAACUCUUUUAUAUUUAUGACUGUAUUACUGUGAGACUGUUAAGAGUUUUAAUUUUGUAGUUACCCCACCUGCUGUUUCAUUAUUAAAGCCUUGGGUCUGAUUAAUCAAAAAUGUAUUCUGCAGUCAGAUCACAGCAGUUGUAUAAAAUUUGUAAGCAUGACUAUACUGUGAAAGCUAUUCAUGACCGAAACAACUUCUAAAGUUUCUGAUGUGUCUUAUGAGGAAGCAGUAUGGUAAAAUGGGUGUUAUGCCUAGAGGCAAAACAAAACCAUGAUGCUGCUCUGAGGGGUUUUCUUUCCUUUCAUGUAAAACCCCCCUCACCCAUACACACUACAUGCAGAGGGGGAGAGUUCACAUGCAAGUAAUUUUCAUGAGCACUUGAAGAUGUAGAUACCAAAACGAUAUGGCUGACAAAUGGCAAAAAUCAUAGAAAACCUUGGCAAAUUCUAUCCCCUACACCAUGCAGUUUUAGUGCAAUUCUGUGUCUCUAAGGGAAAUUGUCAUUGAGCCAUUUGUUUCAAAAACCAAAUAUUGUAUGAGGAGGCUAUCAAUGAAUCUUCACACUUCACUUAGAUCAAUAAACCUCUUUACAUCAGUCUUCAGCUUUCAUUGCCUCCCAACUUUGCUGAAUUCUUAUAACAGAAGAUGUGAUGAGAACUUGUAGUUCAUGUUUUCAUGGAAGUUUUCAUUUGAUAUCUGAGUAGCCUUCACUGUCAUGUAGUCUGGGGUUAACUUAUUUCUUCAGUUGUUGUGGAAUUUAUGCUUCCCCUGCUUAUGUUUGUGCAGAAGCUAACACCAGAAUGUUGCUUGUAUCUGGGCUUUUUUUCCUUUACUGCAGCUGUUAGUAGGUUGUAUGGGAGCUUGUGUUAGAAUUUUUUCAUAUUGCUGCUGCCAUAUUCAGCAAGUUUAACGAGGUAAAAAAUGAAAGCAGCUCUGGAAAGCAAGUUUGAGGACAGUAGUGUCCAGAGUUGAGAGGGACAGAAGGUAACAGCAGAGGUUCACACUGAAGAUAGAAUUUGUUACUUUUGCAGCACAGAAAGAUAUUAGCAAAAAAGAAAUAGUGUAGAUGGAUCAAUUCUUCAGACUAAUGGUUUCAGUGCAGCUGAACACUGUAAAUCACAGAUUUCCCUAGUCUAUUAGACUCAGAACAGAACAAAAACAGCUUGUCUGAUGUCUGGAGCAGCUCGGAGAAACACUUAAUAUUAAUUCAUGAGGAAUAUGCUAUAAGAAGUCUGUUAAGAUUAAAUUUACAAAGGAAAACUUCCAAUCAUAUGAAUUACAUUUUAAAGAAAUAAAAUGAACUUACUUUUGGGA
Long non-coding RNA from Parus major (Great Tit), 1695 nucleotides. RefSeq lists it as uncharacterized. The transcript has 2 exons. Lineage: Eukaryota; Metazoa; Chordata; Aves; Passeriformes; Paridae. The record is from RefSeq and is a predicted model, not a curated record.